Molecule: ribosomal RNA, 554 nt
Filed under: uncultured bacterium
Lineage: Bacteria
Description: partial 16S ribosomal RNA
Rfam family: Bacterial small subunit ribosomal RNA
Source: RNAcentral
UAAGGAAUAUUGGUCAAUGGGCGGAAGCCUGAACCAGCCAUGCCGCGUGCAGGAUGACUGCCCUAUGGGUUGUAAACUGCUUUUGUCCAGGAAUAAACCUAGAUACGUGUAUCUAGCUGAAUGUACUGGAAGAAUAAGGAUCGGCUAACUCCGUGCCAGCAGCCGCGGUAAUACGGAGGAUCCGAGCGUUAUCCGGAUUUAUUGGGUUUAAAGGGUGCGUAGGCGGCCUAUUAAGUCAGGGUGAAAUACGGUGGCUCAACCAUCGCAGUGCCUUUGAUACUGAUGGGCUUGAAUCCAUUUGAAGUGGGCGGAAUAAGACAAGUAGCGGUGAAAUGCAUAGAUAUGUCUUAGAACUCCGAUUGCGAAGGCAGCUCACUAAGCUGGUAUUGACGCUGAUGCACGAAAGCGUGGGGAUCGAACAGGAUUAGAUACCCUGGUAGUCCACGCCCUAAACGAUGAUAACUCGAUGUUGGCGAUAGACAGCCAGCGUCCAAGCGAAAGCGUUAAGUUAUCCACCUGGGGAGUACGCCCCGCAAGGGUGAAACUCAAAUGAA